Molecule: ribosomal RNA, 279 nt
Filed under: uncultured bacterium
Lineage: Bacteria
Description: partial 16S ribosomal RNA
Rfam family: Bacterial small subunit ribosomal RNA
Source: RNAcentral
UGCCAGCCGCCGCGGUAAUACGGAGGGGGCUAGCGUUGUUCGGAAUUACUGGGCGUAAAGCGCACGUAGGCGGAUCAGAAAGUUAGGGGUGAAAUCCCGGGGCUCAACCCCGGAACUGCCUUUGAUACUGUUAGUCUAGAGUUCGAGAGAGGUGAGUGGAAUUCCGAGUGUAGAGGUGAAAUUCGUAGAUAUUCGGAGGAACACCAGUGGCGAAGGCGGCUCACUGGCUCGAUACUGACGCUGAGGUGCGAAAGCGUGGGGAGCAAACAGGAUUAGAUA